This 925-nucleotide ribosomal RNA is filed under the name uncultured bacterium. Its description in RNAcentral is "bacterial SSU rRNA". It matches the Rfam family "Bacterial small subunit ribosomal RNA", at positions 57 to 976 of the family's 1533-position model. The record is from RNAcentral.
GCAGUCGAGCGGGCGAGGUUGCUUCGGUAACUGAGCUAGCGGCGGACGGGUGAGUAAUGCUUAGGAAUCUGCCUAUUAGUGGGGGACAACAUUCCGAAAGGGAUGCUAAUACCGCAUACGUCCUACGGGAGAAAGCAGGGGCUCUUUAUGACCUUGCGCUAAUAGAUGAGCCUAAGUCGGAUUAGCUAGUUGGUGGGGUAAAGGCCUACCAAGGCGACGAUCUGUAGCGGGUCUGAGAGGAUGAUCCGCCACACUGGGACUGAGACACGGCCCAGACUCCUACGGGAGGCAGCAGUGGGGAAUAUUGGACAAUGGGGGGAACCCUGAUCCAGCCAUGCCGCGUGUGUGAAGAAGGCCUUUUGGUUGUAAAGCACUUUAAGUGGGGAGGAGGCUUACCUGGUUAAUACCUGGGCUAAGUGGACGUUACCCACAGAAUAAGCACCGGCUAACUCUGUGCCAGCAGCCGCGGUAAUACAGAGGGUGCGAGCGUUAACCGGAUUUACUGGGCGUAAAGCGCGCGUAGGUGGUUAAUUAAGUCAAAUGUGAAAUCCCCGAGCUUAACUUGGGAAUUGCAUUCGAUACUGGUUAGCUAGAGUAUGGGAGAGGAUGGUAGAAUUCCAGGUGUAGCGGUGAAAUGCGUAGAGAUCUGGAGGAAUACCGAUGGCGAAGGCAGCCAUCUGGCCUAAUACUGACACUGAGGUGCGAAAGCAUGGGGAGCAAACAGGAUUAGAUACCCUGGUAGUCCAUGCCGUANACGAUGUCUACUAGCCGUUGGGGGAUUUGAUCCUUUAGUGGCGCAGCUAACGCGAUAAGUAGACCGCCUGGGGAGUACGGUCGCAAGACUAAAACUCAAAUGAAUUGACGGGGGCCCGCACAAGCGGUGGAGCAUGUGGUUUAAUUCGAUGCAACGCGAAGAACCUUACCU